GACGAACGCUGGCGGCGCGCCUAACACAUGCAAGUCGAACGAGCGAGAGAGAGCUUGCUUUCUUGAGCGAGUGGCGAACGGGUGAGUAACGCGUGAGGAACCUGCCUCAAAGAGGGGGACAACAGUUGGAAACGACUGCUAAUACCGCAUAAGCCCACGACCCGGCAUCGGGGUGAGGGAAAAGGAGCAAUCCGCUUUGAGAUGGCCUCGCGUCCGAUUAGCUAGUUGGUGAGGUAACGGCCCACCAAGGCGACGAUCGGUAGCCGGACUGAGAGGUUGAACGGCCACAUUGGGACUGAGACACGGCCCAGACUCCUACGGGAGGCAGCAGAGGGGAAUAUUGCACAAUGGGGGAAACCCUGAUGCAGCGACGCCGCGUGGAGGAAGAAGGUCUUCGGAUUGUAAACUCCUGUUGUUGAGGAAGAUAAUGACGGUACUCAACAAGGAAGUGACGGCUAACUACGUG
This 466-nucleotide ribosomal RNA is filed under the name uncultured bacterium. RNAcentral's name for it is "partial 16S ribosomal RNA". It matches the Rfam family "Bacterial small subunit ribosomal RNA", at positions 28 to 507 of the family's 1533-position model. The record is from RNAcentral.